RNAcentral lists this ribosomal RNA (730 nucleotides) under Microascus pyramidus. Its description in RNAcentral is "LSU rRNA". It matches the Rfam family "Eukaryotic large subunit ribosomal RNA", at positions 163 to 921 of the family's 3401-position model. Lineage: Eukaryota; Fungi; Ascomycota; Sordariomycetes; Microascales; Microascaceae. The record is from RNAcentral.
UUCUGGCAAGGUGCCGUCCGAGUUCCCUGGAACGGGACGCCGCAGAGGGUGAGAGCCCCGUACGGUCGGACGCCGAGCCUCUGUGAAGCUCCUUCGACGAGUCGAGUAGUUUGGGAAUGCUGCUCAAAAUGGGAGGUAAACCCCUUCUAAAGCUAAAUACCGGCCAGAGACCGAUAGCGCACAAGUAGAGUGAUCGAAAGAUGAAAAGCACUUUGAAAAGAGAGUUAAAAAGCACGUGAAAUUGUUGAAAGGGAAGCGCUUGCGACCAGACUCGCGCCCGUCGGAUCAGCCGUCGCUCGUCGGCGGUGCACUCCGGCGGGCUCGGGCCAGCAUCAGUUCGCCUCGGGGGGAGAAAGGCGGCGGGAAUGUGGCUCUACGGAGUGUUAUAGCCCGCCGCGUAAUACCCCCGGGCGGACUGAGGACCGCGCGUAUGCAAGGAUGCUGGCGUAAUGGUCGUCAGCGACCCGUCUUGAAACACGGACCAAGGAGUCGUCCUAAUAUGCGAGUGUACGGGUGUCAAACCCCUGCGCGUAAUGAAAGUGAACGGAGGUGAGAGCUUCGGCGCAUCAUCGACCGAUCCUGAUGUUCUCGGAUGGAUUUGAGUAAGAGCAUAUUGGGCCGGACCCGAAAGAAGGUGAACUAUGCCUGUGUAGGGUAAAGCCAGAGGAAACUCUGGUGGAGGCUCGCAGCGGUUCUGACGUGCAAAUCGAUCGUCAAACAUGGGCAUGGG